GACGAACGCUGGCGGCGUGCCUAAUACAUGCAAGUAGAACGCUGAAGGAGGAGCUUGCUUCUCUGGAUGAGUUGCGAACGGGUGAGUAACGCGUAGGUAACCUGCCUGGUAGCGGGGGAUAACUAUUGGAAACGAUAGCUAAUACCGCAUAAUAGUAGAUGUUGCAUGACAUUUGCUUAAAAGGUGCAAUUGCAUCACUACCAGAUGGACCUGCGUUGUAUUAGCUAGUUGGUGGGGUAACGGAUCACCAAGGCGACGAUACAUAGUCGACAUGAGAGGGUGGUCAGCCAGACUGGGAGGGAGACACGGCACAGAGGGAUUGGGGAGGCAGCCGGAGGGAAUCGUCGGCCAGGGACGGAAGUCUGAGCGAGAAACGCCGAGGGCGUGAAGAAGGUUGUCGGGUCGUAAAGCUCUGUUGUAAGAGAAGAAAGAGCGUUAGAGUGGAAAGUUGACAGUGUGACGGUAACUGAUCAGAAAGGGACGGCUAACUACGUG
Molecule: ribosomal RNA, 495 nt
Filed under: uncultured bacterium
Lineage: Bacteria
Description: partial 16S ribosomal RNA
Rfam family: Bacterial small subunit ribosomal RNA
Source: RNAcentral